RNAcentral lists this ribosomal RNA (391 nucleotides) under uncultured bacterium. RNAcentral's name for it is "bacterial SSU rRNA". It matches the Rfam family "Bacterial small subunit ribosomal RNA", at positions 28 to 414 of the family's 1533-position model. The record is from RNAcentral.
GAUGAACGCUAGCGGCAGGCUUAAUACAUGCAAGUCGAGGGGUAACAUGGGGUAGCAAUACUCUGAUGACGACCGGCAAACGGGUGCGGAACACGUACGCAACUUUCCCAAAACUGGUGAAUAGCCCUCCGAAAGGAGGAUUAAUACACCGUAACAUAUAGAGGUGGCAUCGCCUUUAUAUUAUAGCUCCGGCGGUUUUGGAUGGGCGUGCGCCUGAUUAGGUAGUUGGUGUGGUAACGGCUUACCAAGCCUGCGAUCUGUAGCUGGUCUGAGAGGAUGAUCAGCCACACUGGGACUGAGACACGGCCCAGACUCCUACGGGAGGCAGCAGUGGGGAAUUUUGGACAAUGGGCGCAAGCCUGAUCCAGCCAUUCCGCGUGCAGGACGAAGG